Molecule: non-coding RNA, 45 nt
Filed under: Schistosoma curassoni
Lineage: Eukaryota; Metazoa; Platyhelminthes; Trematoda; Strigeidida; Schistosomatidae
Source: RNAcentral
ACUCAGCUGACGAGUCCGAAAUAGGACGAAACGUGCGUUCUGGAU